CUAGUUUAAGUUGUAAAAAAAGGGGCUAAGGUUCACCAAUGUUCCCAACUGAAAAGUUUUAUUAAAACACAUGUUUUAGACAUUUUCGAAAUGUUUUGAAAAAACAUUAAGUAAACUUAGUCCACUAAUGCGAAGUCACCGAAAAUUUUUUCCUUACCGAUUAGUUUAAAAAACUUUUAUUACAAAAGUCAUCAAUGCAGAUUCUUCUCUGACUUUGUAUUAAGUUCAGCCAAAUUUUGUUAUGUGAGAUCAUCCUUUAGGUUAUUUCAGCUUGUGAACCGCCAUACACUACAGCUUUCUGCCUCCACUAAACACUGCCAUGGAGGUGGGAAUGGAGGCCUUGGAGGGAAAGCAGAAGGCGUGGAUUUGGCUUCUGGUCUGAUUUUGCUUCAAGAUUCAGAGAUGUAUAGGUUUAUCACGCUCUUGCUAAACUGAAUGACUUCAACCCUUGGUGUCCCGUUUCCUUGUUUUUUCAUGUUCCUUGAAGUCUUGCCUUGCUGUCUUCACCCCUGAAGAAGCAGUCACUUCCUCCAUCAAGCGACUGGCUUCAGGAGAGAAACACACACCUUGGGUCGCCCUGAGAGGGACUGAGGCGUUCUCAGACCGUUUCUGUGGCCACGUGUGCUCCACACUUCUUGUUCCUUCUUGGGAGGGAAUUCUUAAGGUUGUCUGCCUUCUCUGGAUGCUGCAGAGCCAGGCCGGUGCGGGCAGCCUCCCUUUUGCUUUCUCCAGGUCCCAUUGAACGCUGAAGUUUGCAUGCUUUCUCUCCAUCCCGCUCACUAGCCAUCUGCGAAGACUCACCAACCUUGGGUGGGGGUCGGGUGCGCACCCACAGCACCGGCCAGGGGGUGGGGGUGUGGGGACUGAGAUGUGCGCAGCACUGGGGUGUCCGUGGGCCGUCUGGGGAGAUCCGCAGGCAAGCUGUCCCCAGCAGCUUGUGGGUGGGCUUCCUGAUGGAGUCCGCAAAGUGGCUGGUAGAAUGGUCCUUUCGAUGCCCUCCGAGAGCCCGGGCUGCCUUCUCCCAGCCCCCUCCGCCCCCCACCGGUCGUGCAGCACACCCGGCGUUCUGGAUGCGGGGAGAGAGAGAAGUGGGCAGGCUCCCCUACAGUUGGGGAAGCCAGACGCUCACGCCCACGCCCUCACCUCCCCCUUGGGGAGAAAUCGCUGUGUGCUGGAAUUUCGCGGGUGUCUGGGAUUCCCACAAAGGUGCUCUUAUCCGCGGAUGAUGUUCAACAUCAGUGUUCGUUGGGUGUGCCCACAACACCAGGCUGCCUUUAUGGAGAAAAAGCGUGGAUUCUUCUGCGCCUUGGUACAACUUGACAGACCUAGCAGUCUGUCUCUGAGGAACUUAAAUGAGACACGGACAAUGUAAAUGAGGUCCCAGGCGUAAAGUGGAGUAUUCCAGAGACUACAUGAUGGAUGACAUUGCAACAGAUUGAACGCAGAAGCGCGUAUGAGAAUAUAGCCAUCUUCUCUCAAUCCAUACAUUAAAGAGACUCUCAAAAAUGUACAACACUAUCACAAUUCUCACUAAUUUUUUGUUUUGGAAAAUACAGUGACUUUUUGUUAAAAAUAGAUUAUCUAUAGUAG
RNAcentral lists this long non-coding RNA (1590 nucleotides) under Equus asinus (donkey). RNAcentral's name for it is "lncRNA (ENSEASG00005029466.1)". The record is from RNAcentral. Lineage: Eukaryota; Metazoa; Chordata; Mammalia; Perissodactyla; Equidae.